UACGUAGGUGGCAAGCGUUAUCCGGAUUUACUGGGUGUAAAGGGCGUGUAGGCGGGAAAGCAAGUCAGAUGUGAAAACCAUGGGCUCAACCUGUGGCCUGCAUUUGAAACUGUUUUUCUUGAGUACUGGAGAGGCAGACGGAAUUCCUAGUGUAGCGGUGAAAUGCGUAGAUAUUAGGAGGAACACCAGUGGCGAAGGCGGUCUGCUGGACAGCAACUGACGCUGAGGCGCGAAAGCGUGGGGAGCAUACAGG
This 253-nucleotide ribosomal RNA is filed under the name uncultured bacterium. RNAcentral describes it as "partial 16S ribosomal RNA". It matches the Rfam family "Bacterial small subunit ribosomal RNA", at positions 524 to 776 of the family's 1533-position model. The record is from RNAcentral.